GAUUUUUUUUAAUUAGGAUAAUUUAAUAUGCAAAACUUGGCUAUAUAGGCUCUAAAAAAAGGCUAUAUAUAGAAAGAAUUAUGGUAUAACGCAAUGUGAUAUGUUAUGGUACAAUGUGAAAUGUUAUAAAGCAACUAGUGAGAAGCUUCAUUUCACACAAAGAGUUUCAGAAAAAUAACACUCUCAGUCUCUUCUUCUAUAUCAUUUUCUCUCUCUAUAUCUUGUUCUUAUUUCUAUUCUAUUUUUUAUUUUAAGCCCUUUUCAAUAUAUUAAGGUUGUUGGGUGAAAUUUUGAUGCAAUGGAUGUCAAAUUGAAAUCAUCCGAUCCCAUUGACAAAUUGAGUUUUUACUCAGAAAGGACUCAGAACUUGCACUGAAAACUCUGCUGCAAUGGAACUUGGACGUCUUUUUCUUUCUUUUUUUUUUUU
This 427-nucleotide unclassified non-coding RNA is filed under the name Hevea brasiliensis (rubber tree). The record is from RNAcentral. Lineage: Eukaryota; Viridiplantae; Streptophyta; Magnoliopsida; Malpighiales; Euphorbiaceae.